This 650-nucleotide ribosomal RNA is filed under the name uncultured marine bacterium. RNAcentral describes it as "bacterial SSU rRNA". It matches the Rfam family "Bacterial small subunit ribosomal RNA", at positions 76 to 759 of the family's 1533-position model. The record is from RNAcentral.
CACUUCGGUGGCGAGUACAGUGGCGCACGGGUGAGUAACGCGUAGAUGAUCUACCCUUCAGUCUGGGACAACUCUUGGAAACGGGAGCUAAUACCGGAUAAAACCUUCGGGUUGAAAGAUUUAUCGCUGGGGGAUGAGUCUGCGUACCAUUAGCUUGUUGGUGGGGUAACGGCCUACCAAGGCGACGAUGGUUAGCGGGUCUGAGAGGACGAUCCGCCACACUGGAACUGAGACACGGUCCAGACUCCUACGGGAGGCAGCAGUAGGGAAUAUUGCGCAAUGGGGGCAACCCUGACGCAGCAAUGCCGCGUGAGUGAAGAAGGCCUUCGGGUCGUAAAGCUCUUUUAUGGGGGAAGAUGAUGACGGUACCCCAUGAAUAAGCACCGGCUAACUACGUGCCAGCAGCCGCGGUAAUACGUAGGGUGCGAGCGUUGUUCGGAAUUACUGGGCGUAAAGGGCGUGCAGGCGGAUUGGCAAGCCGGAGGUGAAAGCCCGGGGCUCAACCCCGGAGGGUCUUUCGGAACUGCCAGUCUUGAGAGGGUCAGGGGCCAGCGGAAUUCCUGGUGUAGAGGUGAAAUUCGUAGAGAUCAGGAGGAACACCGGCGGCGAAAGCGGCUGGCUGGGGCCACUCUGACGCUGAGGCGCGAAAG